UAACAAGGAUUCCCCUAGUAACUGCGAGUGAAGCGGGAAAAGCUCAAAUUUAAAAUCUGGCGGUCUUUGGCCGUCCGAGUUGUAGUCUGGAGAAGUGCUUUCCGCGCUGGACCGUGUACAAGUCUCUUGGAACAGAGCGUCAUAGAGGGUGAGAAUCCCGUCUUUGACACGGACUACCAGUGCUUUGUGAUGCGCUCUCAAAGAGUCGAGUUGUUUGGGAAUGCAGCUCUAAAUGGGUGGUAAAUUCCAUCUAAAGCUAAAUAUUGGCGAGAGACCGAUAGCGAACAAGUACCGUGAGGGAAAGAUGAAAAGCACUUUGGAAAGGGAGUUAAACAGUACGUGAAAUUGCUGAAAGGGAAACGCUUGAAGUCAGUCGCGUUGGCCGGGACUCAGCCUUGCUUUUUGCUUGGUGCAUUUUCCGGUCGACGGGCCAGCAUCGAUUUUGACCGUCGGAAAAGGGCUAGGGAAAUGUGGCACCUUCGGGUGUGUUAUAGUCUCUAGUCGCAUGCGGCGGUUGGGAUCGAGGAACGCAGCGCGCCGCAAGGCAGGGGUUCGCCCACUUUCGCGCUUAGGAUGCUGGCGUAAUA
This 587-nucleotide ribosomal RNA is filed under the name uncultured Fomes. RNAcentral's name for it is "eukaryotic LSU rRNA". It matches the Rfam family "Eukaryotic large subunit ribosomal RNA", at positions 66 to 636 of the family's 3401-position model. The record is from RNAcentral. Lineage: Eukaryota; Fungi; Basidiomycota; Agaricomycetes; Polyporales; Polyporaceae.